GAUGAACGCUGGCGGCGUGCCUAAUACAUGCAAGUCGAGCGAACAGACGAGGAGCUUGCUCCUCUGACGUUAGCGGCGGACGGGUGAGUAACACGUGGAUAACCUACCUAUAAGACUGAGAUAACUUCGGGAAACCGGAGCUAAUACCGGAUAAUAUAUUGAACCGCAUGGUUCAAUAGUGAAAGACGGUUUUGCUGUCACUUAUAGAUGGAUCCGCGCCGCAGUAGCUAGUUGGUAAGGUAACGGCUUACCAAGGCGACGAUGCGUAGCCGACCUGAGAGGGUGAUCGGCCACACUGGAACUGAGACACGGUCCAGACUCCUACGGGAGGCAGCAGUAGGGAAUCUUCCGCAAUGGGCGAAAGCCUGACGGAGCAACGCCGCGUGAGUGAUGAAGGUCUUCGGAUCGUAAAACUCUGUUAUUAGGGAAGAACAAAUGUGUAAGUAACUAUGCACGUCUUGACGGUACCUAAUCAGAAAGCCACGGCUAACUACGUG
RNAcentral lists this ribosomal RNA (497 nucleotides) under uncultured bacterium. RNAcentral describes it as "partial 16S ribosomal RNA". It matches the Rfam family "Bacterial small subunit ribosomal RNA", at positions 28 to 507 of the family's 1533-position model. The record is from RNAcentral.